GAAAGAAUGUGUCUCUGUUCAUCAGCGACCUGAAGGCUGAACACUCAGCGGUGUACUACUGUGCAGCGAGCGAUGCACAUCGACAGCAGAGUUGCGUUCUUCAUACAAAAACCCAGGAUCAGAUUCUGUCAGUGGUUUUAAAUCAGAGCUAGAAUAAGCCCCGCCCAUCAUCUCACUCAGCAUCCACUGUCUUUCCAAAGCUCAGUCAGCUUAGCAGCAGCUCAUGACAUGGUUGGAUUUUCACUAGUGUUAGUAAAGGUAAUGGGAGUAAAGUCAACAUGAUUACUUUGCUGCUUUUGUGUUUUGUCUCAGGUAUUAGUCUGGGUCUUGAGGUCCGCCAGUCUCCCUCUGAUCUCUUCACUAAUCCUGAUGGCAAAGUUCAGAUUUUCUGCACACACGAUAAAACCGACUUCAGAGCGAUGCUCUGGUACCAGAGGUCACCUGGAGACACAGCUUUGAAGCUCAUCGGAUAUCUGUACCACAAAGCUGUCUCAAUGGAGGACCAGUAUAAGCAUGGGUUUGACCUUACCGGGGAUUUAGGCGGAGAUGCGACAAAGAAUGGAUCUCUGCUCAUUAAACAUGUAAAACCUGGACAAAGUGCUGUUUACUUCUGUGCAGCAAGCAGAGCACAAUGACAGAAGCUCCUUCUGAUCGUUACCAAAACCAUUUUCUGAUAUUCUGUGGUUCAGACACCUGCUGCUGUGGGUUUUUCAUGUGCUUUUAUAUUAUUGAUGAAUGUACAGCUUUAAUCUGGAUUGGGUAGUGGUUAGUACUGUUAACAUAAUAGUAAUUUUCUGUGUGGAGUUUGCUUGUUUUCAUGGUUUUCAUCAUUCCUGUAUGCUGCAGGCUUUCACACACAGGUUGUUACGUCCUCAAAUGAUGGAUAAGGAGAAGGACAGGGAGUAACACAGAGGCAUGUGUUUCAGGUGUUAAAAUAGUAAACAAUGAUUUUAUUAAAAGGAUUUUAAAAUGACAAAAAGCUCCAAAUCUAAAAGUACUUAAAUCAUACUGUUAAAAUGGCCAAGGGGUUUCGUUUAGAACUUAGUUCUCCCCCACCUCAAGACCCUCACAGCCCCCCUCCUGGACCCCCUGCAGUUUGCAUACAGAGCAAACAGGUCUGUAGAUGAUGCAAUCAACAUGGCUCUACAAUUCAUCCUGCAGCAUCUGGACUCCCCAGGUACCUAUGCCAGGAUAUUGUUCGUGGACUUCAGCUCUGCAUUCAACACAAUCCUGCCAGACCUCCUCCAAGACAAAAUGUCCCAGAUGAACGUGCCUGACCCCAUCUGCAGGUGGAUCACUGACUUCCUGACAGACAGGAAACAACAAGUCAGGCUGGGGAAGAAUGUCUCGGACCAUCAGCACCGGCUCACCACAGGGCUGUGUUCUUUCCCCUCUGCUCUUCUCCCUGUACACCAACAGCUGCACCUCCAAGCAUGAGUCUGUCAAACUAAUUAAGUUUGCUGAUGACACCACCAUCAUUGGACUCAUCUCUAAUGGGGAUGAGUCCGCUUACAGAAUGGAGGCUGAAUGGCUGGUGUCCUGGUGCAGCCACAACAACCUGGUGCUAAACACCCAGAAGACAGCGGAGGUUAUUGUGGACUUUAGGAAACACACACACCCCAUCCCCCCCUUAAACCUCUCUGACACUCCCAUCACGAUGGUGGACUCAUGUCGUUUCUUGGGCACCACCAUCACCCAGGACCUCAAAUGGGAGCCCACCAUCACCACCAUCAGAAAAAGGGCCCAGCAGAGGAUGUACUUCCUGAGGCAGUCAAUGAGGCAUUUCUACACCGCUAUCAUCGAGUCCACCCUCACCUCCUCCAUCACCGUGUGGUACGCUGGAGCUACCACCAGGGACAAGAAGAGGCUGCAGCGUGUCGUGCGCUCUGCAGAGAAGGUCAUUGGCUGCAAACUCCCCUCCAUUCAAGAUCUGUACACCUCUAGGACAUUGAGGCGUGCAGGUCGGAUAAUAGCUGACUCGUCUCACCCUGGACACAGUCUCUUCGACUCGCUCCCAUCUGGCAGAAGGCUCAGAUCCAUUCGGACCAGAACCUCUCGCCACAAAAACAGUUUCUUCCCCUCUGCAGUUGGACUUUUGAAUGAACAUCCUAGGGCAGCCCACUCAAGUUGAUUGGUCCCAGUCACGUGACCCGAUGC
Non-coding RNA from Nothobranchius furzeri (turquoise killifish), 2157 nucleotides. The record is from the annotation of a RefSeq genome assembly. Lineage: Eukaryota; Metazoa; Chordata; Actinopteri; Cyprinodontiformes; Nothobranchiidae.